GAAGGCAAGCGGAUCUCUUAAAGCUGUUCUCAGUUCGGACUGCAGUCUGCAACUCGACUGCACGAAGCUGGAAUCGCUAGUAAUCGCGGAUCAGCACGCCGCGGUGAAUACGUUCCCGGGCCUUGUACACACCGCCCGUCACACCAUGGAAGUCUGCAAUGCCCGAAGCCGGUGGCCUAACGAAAGAGGACGUCGUCGAAGGUGGGAUUGAUGACUGGGGUGAAGUCGUAACAAGGUAGC
Molecule: ribosomal RNA, 240 nt
Filed under: uncultured bacterium
Lineage: Bacteria
Description: partial 16S ribosomal RNA
Rfam family: Bacterial small subunit ribosomal RNA
Source: RNAcentral